Molecule: ribosomal RNA, 455 nt
Filed under: Scinax x-signatus (Venezuela snouted treefrog)
Lineage: Eukaryota; Metazoa; Chordata; Amphibia; Anura; Hylidae
Description: partial large subunit ribosomal RNA
Rfam family: Bacterial large subunit ribosomal RNA
Source: RNAcentral
UGUUCAACGGCCGCGGUAUCCUAACCGUGCGAAGGUAGCGUAAUCACUUGUUCUUUAAAUGAGGACUAGUAUGAAUGGCACCACGAGGGUUGCACUGUCUCCUUCCCCUAAUCAAUGAAACUAAUCUUCCCGUGAAGAAGCGGGAAUUUAUUUAUAAGACGAGAAGACCCUAUGGAGCUUUAAAUUUCUCUUCAAACGCCAGACAUAAACCCUGAACAUCUUUCACCAACCCAGCGCCAUGAAGAUGAAUUUUAGGUUGGGGUGACCACGGAGAACAACACAACCUCCACGCUGAAUAGGCCUAAAACCUUGAACUAAGGACCACAGCCCGACGAACUAAAAAAUUAACACCCAUUGACCCAAUUCUUUUUGAUCAACGAACCAAGUUACCCUAGGGAUAACAGCGCAAUCUACUUCAAGAGUCCUUAUCGACAAGUGGGUUUACGACCUCGAUG